RNAcentral lists this ribosomal RNA (227 nucleotides) under Noctiluca scintillans. Its description in RNAcentral is "partial Eukaryotic large subunit ribosomal RNA". It matches the Rfam family "Eukaryotic large subunit ribosomal RNA", at positions 2615 to 2841 of the family's 3401-position model. The record is from RNAcentral. Lineage: Eukaryota; Dinophyceae; Noctilucales; Noctilucaceae.
GGGAGUUUGGCUGGGGCGGCACAUCUGUUAAACAAUAACACAGGUGUCCUAAGGUCAGCUCAAUGAGAACAGAAAUCUCAUGUAGAAUAAAAGGGUAAAAGCUGACUUGAUUUUGAUUUUCAGUAUGAAUACAAACUCGGAAACGAUGGCCUAUCGAUCCUUUCGGUUUUUAGAAUUUGAAGCGAGAGGUACCAGAAAAGUUACCACAGGGAUAACUGGCUUGUGGC